RNAcentral lists this ribosomal RNA (564 nucleotides) under Triticum aestivum (bread wheat). Its description in RNAcentral is "partial small subunit ribosomal RNA". Lineage: Eukaryota; Viridiplantae; Streptophyta; Magnoliopsida; Poales; Poaceae. The record is from RNAcentral.
AUGGAUCUGGCAGCCCAGCUCAACCAGGAGAGGGUCAACGCGCACGGGCGCGCUCGCUGCAGAGUGCAGAAGAACAGGGUCUCGGCCCCCGGGUCGGCAACGGCGACGUGGGAUGCUCACGCCGGUGAACUUGAGGACGAGCGGGCGCCGCGGCUCCGGGAACAUGGUGGGGCGGCGAGAUUCGACGCGAGGAAGAGGAUUUGGCCGGAGACGAUGGCUUGUCGAAGCAGGGGAGACUCGGGCAGCGCACGGGGUAGAGGAAGCAGAGGCCGCAACAGGCGAACUUGGUGGCAGCAGCAGGUCCAGCAGGGGUCACCGGGGCUUGGACGCGGGGCUCCGGUAAGGUUGGGGAGGCCCGGCGCGCGAGGAACGGCGCAGGGAAGGACGCCUGGGCACGGGUCCAUGGCGCGGGCACGGGACGCCAUGGUGGUUGCUGCUGUGCUGGUUGCCAGGCAGACGACGGCAGAGCACAGCGAAGAGGCCCGGAACGGGCAGGAGGCGGGGAUGGUGGGCGAGGAGGUGGAGCUCGGGCUCCUGCGGGAUUUGAGCGUCGGCGGUCGUUGA